Molecule: ribosomal RNA, 461 nt
Filed under: uncultured bacterium
Lineage: Bacteria
Description: partial 16S ribosomal RNA
Rfam family: Bacterial small subunit ribosomal RNA
Source: RNAcentral
GACGAACGCUGGCGGCGUGCUUAACACAUGCAAGUCGAGCGGAAAGGCCCUUCGGGGUACUCGAGCGGCGAACGGGUGAGUAACACGUGAGUAACCUGCCCCAGACUUUGGGAUAACCCUCGGAAACGGGGGCUAAUACCGGAUACGACACAGCUUCGCAUGGGGUCUGUGUGGAAAGUUUUUCGGUUUGGGAUGGGCUCGCGGCCUAUCAGCUUGUUGGUGGGGUGAUGGCCUACCAAGGCGACGACGGGUAGCCGGCCUGAGAGGGCGACCGGCCACACUGGGACUGAGACACGGCCCAGACUCCUACGGGAGGCAGCAGUGGGGAAUAUUGCACAAUGGGCGGAAGCCUGAUGCAGCGACGCCGCGUGCGGGAUGACGGCCUUCGGGUUGUAAACCUCUUUCAGCAGGGACGAAGCGUAAGUGACGGUACCUGCAGAAGAAGCGCCGGCCAACUACGU